This 1257-nucleotide ribosomal RNA is filed under the name uncultured low G+C Gram-positive bacterium. RNAcentral's name for it is "bacterial SSU rRNA". It matches the Rfam family "Bacterial small subunit ribosomal RNA", at positions 62 to 1345 of the family's 1533-position model. The record is from RNAcentral. Lineage: Bacteria; Bacillati; Bacillota.
UCGAGCGGUAGAGAGAAGCUUGCUUCUCUUGAGAGCGGCGGACGGGUGAGUAAUGCCUAGGAAUCUGCCUGGUAGUGGGGGAUAACGCUCGGAAACGGACGCUAAUACCGCAUACGUCCUACGGGAGAAAGCAGGGGACCUUCGGGCCUUGCGCUAUCAGAUGAGCCUAGGUCGGAUUAGCUAGUUGGUGGGGUAAUGGCUCACCAAGGCGACGAUCCGUAACUGGUCUGAGAGGAUGAUCAGUCACACUGGAACUGAGACACGGUCCAGACUCCUACGGGAGGCAGCAGUGGGGAAUAUUGGACAAUGGGCGAAACCCUGAUGCAGCGACGCCGCGUGGAGGAAGAAGGUCUUCGGAUUGUAAACUCCUGUUGUUGAGGAAGAUAAUGACGGUACUCAACAAGGAAGUGACGGCUAACUACGUGCCAGCAGCCGCGGUAAAACGUAGGUCACAAGCGUCGUCCGGAAUUACUGGGUGUAAAGGGAGCGCAGGCGGGAAGACAAGUUUGAAGUGAAAUCCAUGGGCUCAACCCAUGAACUGCUUUCAAAACUGUUUUUCUUGAGUAGUGCAGAGGUAGGCGGAAUUCCCGGUGUAGCGGUGGAAUGCGUAGAUAUCGGGAGGAACACCAGUUGCGAAGGCGGCCUACUUGGCACCCAACUGACGCUGAGGCUCGAAAGUGUGGGUAGCAAACAGGAUUAGAUACCCUGGUAGUCCACACCGUAAACGAUGAUUACUAGGUGUUGGAGGAUUGACCCCUUCAGUGCCGCAGUUAACACAAUAAGUAAUCCACCUGGGGAGUACGACCGCAAGGUUGAAACUCAAAGGAAUUGACGGGGGCCCGCACAAGUAGUGGAGUAUGUGGUUUAAUUCGACGCAACGCGAAGAACCUUACCAAGUCUUGACAUCCUGCGACGAUGCUGGAAACAGUAUUUUUCCUUCGGGACGCAGAGACAGGUGGUGCAUGGUUGUCGUCAGCUCGCGUCGUGAGAUGUUGGGUUAAGUCCCGCAACGAGCGCAACCCUUAUGGUCAGUUACUACGCAAGAGGACUCUGGCCAGACUGCCGUUGACAAAACGGAGGAAGGUGGGGAUGACGUCAAAUCAUCAUGCCCUUUAUGACUUGGGCUACACACGUACUACAAUGGCGUUAAACAAAGAGAAGCAAGACCGCGAGGUGGAGCAAAACUCAGAAACAACGUCCCAGUUCGGACUGCAGGCUGCAACUCGCCUGCACGAAGUCGGAAUUGCUAGUAAUCGU